Long non-coding RNA from Centruroides sculpturatus (bark scorpion), 1393 nucleotides. RefSeq lists it as uncharacterized. The transcript is spliced from 3 exons. Lineage: Eukaryota; Metazoa; Arthropoda; Arachnida; Scorpiones; Buthidae. The record is from RefSeq and is a predicted model, not a curated record.
UGUUAAUUCAUUUUGACAUUUAGUAUUUUACUUAAUCGUCUUCCUACGUCAAGUUUGGACAAAAUACCCAAUAAUAAUUUAAGUAGAAAGCGAAAUUUAUAAAGCAGAAAUCAGCAAACAAGUUUAUAGAUUUCACUUUCAUAAAAUUCAUGUAAAAGAUGAUAUUUUCAGGAGACGGUGUUACUAUCAGGACGUGGUGGGAGGGCGAAUGGCCUCGCUGUUUCUAUAAAAUGCCACGAAUGUCCUAUGAAGGUAACACAACGUGGCGAGAUCAUACCGCCACUAAAUUAAGCAUGUAAUCCCAUCGACUCGAUACACUUGUCGUAAGUGUCAGAGGUAAGUUUCUUAUUUUCAAGCACUUUUUGAGAAUUAACUUGGUGAGACCCGAGGUUCCGGAAUAUAUAAGGCUGUCUCAGAAACUUACUGUUGGAUUUCGAAUAUACCGAGCCGAAUGCCAAGCGACUGCUUUACAACAGUUAAUCAGGGAAAUUGGACUAUUUUUAUUAUUUGUAAGAAUUUUCCCGUUCGAAAGUAAACAUAUCUAUUGUUAUUACUGUUAGUAAACAUAUGUUGAUAAUUAAAUUGAUAAAAUUAUAUGGAAAAAUAGUGAAACUUCCUUUACCAAUUUGACAUUCUGAUGCGGUGUCUACGCCUGAUUCUGUAGGAAAUAGAUACUGUAUAAGUUUACAGUAGGUGUGAAGGUACUGUACGUAAGUAUUAAUUUUGAGAUAAGAACUUUUAUUUUCAGGUAAUUGUGAUACUAUGAGGAUGUGGUGGGUAGCGAAGUGGCGACGCUAUUUCUAGAAAAUGCCACAAAAAUCCUAAGACGGUAGCAAAAUAUGGCGAGUACGUGCCACCAUUAAAUAAGCACGCGCCUCUCGGCCUUUGUGGGCACGGCCAGGUGCCACCGAGCGCGUCCACGGGUUGCGGAUAGUGGAACGACCUCGAAAGAGCUAUUUACCAACAGUUGAUUUUGUUAUGUCGACGAGCAAGCAAGAAAUUCGUUGGGUCUUUGUUCGAUGUUCUGUUGGUCGAGAAGGACGCGACUAGGGUCCAGUCCUAACAGUUGUAGCAGUCAAUCUUCUAUUUCUUUGUAACUGACCGAGUUUAAAAUAAGUAACAACGAGGGUGCUUUACAUAUUUCAUAUUUGGAUGCUUGCUGUUGAGUAGACGACAUAGAAGAUCGUCUCUGCGCAUUUGUGUCGUAGUAAUUGCCGCUGUUGUUAAUUAAGCAGAUCAUUUCUUAUUGGAUAUUGGCAUAUAUUUGGAAUGAAUCCAGAUAAGUUGUUGUAACUCUGUAACACAGUACAAAUUGUUCCUAAAAAGAAAAGAAAUAUUAAUAACAAAUAAUUCGGUAAGUAACAGAAUAUAAUUUGUUUUAGUUCAAAACUUA